This 281-nucleotide unclassified non-coding RNA is filed under the name Hevea brasiliensis (rubber tree). The record is from RNAcentral. Lineage: Eukaryota; Viridiplantae; Streptophyta; Magnoliopsida; Malpighiales; Euphorbiaceae.
AAAAAAUGGAUGCUCCCCCAAAAUAUCAAAAUAUGUCAUAUUAUGAUAAUGUCCAAAGGCAACAUGAAGAAAAAGGCUGCCUCUAUGCUUGUAUGUUUGCGAUGUGUUGCUGCUUCUGCUGCAAUGAAAGGACUUGUUGUUGCUGUUAGCACAAAUUAUUCAUCGUCGUUGAUUAUGUUAUUCAGACUCUUUAAAAAUAUUAUCUGAUGUGUACGUUUUUUCAAAGAUUAUGUAUUUUUAUAUGAUUCGAUAUGAAUACAAUAACAAUAUUUAAGAAUUCG